This 465-nucleotide ribosomal RNA is filed under the name uncultured bacterium. RNAcentral describes it as "partial 16S ribosomal RNA". It matches the Rfam family "Bacterial small subunit ribosomal RNA", at positions 28 to 507 of the family's 1533-position model. The record is from RNAcentral.
GAUGAACGCUGGCGGCGUGCUUAACACAUGCAAGUCGAACGGAAAGGCCCAAGCUUGCUUGGGUACUCGAGUGGCGAACGGGUGAGUAACACGUGGGUGAUCUGCCCUGCACUUCGGGAUAAGCCUGGGAAACUGGGUCUAAUACCGGAUAGGACCACAUUUUGGUUGGUGUGGUGGAAAGUUUUCCGGUGUGGGAUGAGCUCGCGGCCUAUCAGCUUGUUGGUGGGGUAAUGGCCUACCAAGGCGUCGACGGGUAGCCGGCCUGAGAGGGUGUACGGCCACAUUGGGACUGAGAUACGGCCCAGACUCCUACGGGAGGCAGCAGUGGGGAAUAUUGCACAGUGGGCGCAAGCCUGAUGCAGCGACGCCGCGUGGGGGAUGACGGCCUUCGGGUUGUAAACUCCUUUCGCUAGGGACGAAGCGCAAGUGACGGUACCUGGAGAAGAAGCACCGGCUAACUACGUG